Molecule: small RNA, 61 nt
Filed under: Calothrix sp. PCC 6303
Lineage: Bacteria; Bacillati; Cyanobacteriota; Cyanophyceae; Nostocales; Calotrichaceae
Description: Nitrogen stress-induced RNA 1
Rfam family: Nitrogen stress-induced RNA 1
Source: Rfam by way of RNAcentral
UGGUAGAUGCACCCUGAUUAAAUUUUAACCUCAGUCGAUUUAUUGGCUGAGGUUCUUUAUU